Molecule: ribosomal RNA, 460 nt
Filed under: uncultured bacterium
Lineage: Bacteria
Description: partial 16S ribosomal RNA
Rfam family: Bacterial small subunit ribosomal RNA
Source: RNAcentral
CCUACGGGAGGCAGCAGUGAGGAAUAUUGGUCAAUGGACGCAAGUCUGAACCAGCCAUGCCGCGUGAAGGAAGACGGCCCUACGGGUUGUAAACUGCUUUUGUAAGAGGGUAAAUUGAGACACGUGUGCCUGGUUGUAUGUAUCGUAUGAAUAAGGAUCGGCUAACUCCGUGCCAGCAGCCGCGGUAAUACGGAGGAUUCAAGCGUUAUCCGGAUUUAUUGGGUUUAAAGGGUGCGUAGACGGGUUGUUAAGUUAGUUGUGAAAUCUUGCGGCUCAACCCUAAAACUGCAACUGAUACUGGCAGUCUUGAGUAUAGUUGCGGUAGGCGGAAUGCAUGGUGUAGCGGUGAAAUGCUUAGAGAUCACACAGAACUCCGAUUGCGAAGGCAGCUUACCAAACUACGACUGACAUUGAUGCUCGAAAGCGUGGGUAUCAAACAGGAUUAGAUACCCGUGUAGUC